RNAcentral lists this ribosomal RNA (254 nucleotides) under uncultured bacterium. Its description in RNAcentral is "partial 16S ribosomal RNA". It matches the Rfam family "Bacterial small subunit ribosomal RNA", at positions 524 to 776 of the family's 1533-position model. The record is from RNAcentral.
UACGUAGGGAGCAAGCGUUGUUCGGAUUUACUGGGCGUAAAGGGCGCGUAGGCGGCAAUUCAAGUCACUUGUGAAAUCUCUGGGCUUAACUCGGAACGGUCAAGUGAUACUGCUUUGCUAGAGUGCGGAAGGGGCAAUCGGAAUUCUCGGUGUAGCGGUGAAAUGCGUAGAUAUCGAGAGGAACACCUGAGGUGAAGACGGGUUGCUGGGCCGACACUGACGCUGACAGCGCGAAAGCCAGGGGAGCAAACGGG